Molecule: ribosomal RNA, 290 nt
Filed under: uncultured bacterium
Lineage: Bacteria
Description: partial 16S ribosomal RNA
Rfam family: Bacterial small subunit ribosomal RNA
Source: RNAcentral
GGAUUAGAUACCCUGGUAGUCCACGCCGUAAACGAUGUCUACUAGUUGUUGGGAGACUUGAUCUCUUAGUAACGAAGCUAACGCGAUAAGUAUACCACCUGGGGAGUACGGUCGCAAGAUUGAAACUCAAAGGAAUUGACGGGGGCCCGCACAAGCGGUGGAGCAUGUGGUUUAAUUCGAUGAUACGCGAGGAACCUUACCUGGGCUUAAAUGUAGAGUGACUGACUUGGAAACAGGUCUUUCUUCGGACACUUUACAAGGUGCUGCAUGGUUGUCGUCAGCUCGUGCUG